GCUUUCGUGGUGUAGUGGUCUGCAUGUUCGACGCGUAGCCAAGAGGUCCGAGGUUCGAUUCCCGGCGAAGGCG
Non-coding RNA from Stegodyphus mimosarum, 73 nucleotides. The record is from Rfam. NCBI's taxonomy places the organism in Eukaryota, Metazoa, Arthropoda, Arachnida, Araneae, Eresidae.